AUUUCUUGGUUGUUGCGCUGUAGCUCCACGUUUAGAUUCACGCGCGAUCGUUGAACGAUGUAGUCGCAGUGGGAUCUGAGGACAACCAGGGGACAACGGGACACAAGAUUGGGGGGAGAACCCGGGGCUAAACAAAAUAACCCCCGUGCGAACUCCCCCCAGGACACAAAAAGAUCAUCUUUAUUACGGUGGCCUGCCAUGCGAGCGCACCCA
RNAcentral lists this unclassified non-coding RNA (213 nucleotides) under Hevea brasiliensis (rubber tree). Lineage: Eukaryota; Viridiplantae; Streptophyta; Magnoliopsida; Malpighiales; Euphorbiaceae. The record is from RNAcentral.